AAGAGACAGCAGUAGCCACGGGAAUACAGAGGGUGCGAGCGUUAAUCGGAUUUACUGGGCGUAAAGCGUGCGUAGGCGGCUUUUUAAGUCGGAUGUGAAAUCCCUGAGCUUAACUUAGGAAUUGCAUUCGAUACUGGGAAGCUAGAGUAUGGGAGAGGAUGGUAGAAUUCCAGGUGUAGCGGUGAAAUGCGUAGAGAUCUGGAGGAAUACCGAUGGCGAAGGCAGCCAUCUGGCCUAAUACUGACGCUGAGGUACGAAAGCAUGGGGAGCAAACAGGAUUAGAUACCCGGGUAGUCCCUGUCUCUUAUAA
Molecule: ribosomal RNA, 310 nt
Filed under: uncultured bacterium
Lineage: Bacteria
Description: partial 16S ribosomal RNA
Rfam family: Bacterial small subunit ribosomal RNA
Source: RNAcentral